UGGAGAGGUGGUCCAGGGUUACGUAAA
This 27-nucleotide small RNA is filed under the name Bombyx mori (domestic silkworm). RNAcentral describes it as "ovarian small RNA-2258". Lineage: Eukaryota; Metazoa; Arthropoda; Insecta; Lepidoptera; Bombycidae. The record is from RNAcentral.